RNAcentral lists this transfer RNA (72 nucleotides) under Camelus ferus (Wild Bactrian camel). It matches the Rfam family "tRNA". Rfam says of the family: Transfer RNA (tRNA) molecules are approximately 80 nucleotides in length. Their secondary structure includes four short double-helical elements and three loops (D, anti-codon, and T loops). The record is from Rfam by way of RNAcentral. Lineage: Eukaryota; Metazoa; Chordata; Mammalia; Artiodactyla; Camelidae.
GAGGGUGUAGCUCAGUGGUAGAGCACAUGCCUAGCAUGCAUGAAGCCCUGGGUUCAACCCCCAGUACCGCCA